CCUACGGGAGGCAGCAGUGAGGAAUAUUGGUCAAUGGGCGAGAGCCUGAACCAGCCAAGUCGCGUGAGGGAGUACUGCCCUAUGGGUUGUAAACCUCUUUUGUCGGGGAGCAAAAGCCGGACGUGUCCGGCUGUGAGAGUACCCGAAGAAAAAGCAUCGGCUAACUCCGUGCCAGCAGCCGCGGUAAUACGGAGGAUGCGAGCGUUAUCCGGAUUUAUUGGGGUUAAAGGGUGCGCAGGCGGAUUUUUAAGUCAGCGGUCAAAUCGUGGGGCUCAACCCCAUCCAGCCGUUGAAACUGGGGAUCUAGAGUGUGCGAGAGGUAGGCGGAAUGCGUGGUGUAGCGGUGAAAUGCAUAGAUAUCACGCAGAACCCCGAUGGCGAAGGCAGCAUACCGGUGCACAACUGACGCUCAGGCACGAAAGCGUGGGUAUCGAACAGGAUUAGAUACCCCUGUAGUC
RNAcentral lists this ribosomal RNA (458 nucleotides) under uncultured bacterium. Its description in RNAcentral is "partial 16S ribosomal RNA". It matches the Rfam family "Bacterial small subunit ribosomal RNA", at positions 338 to 795 of the family's 1533-position model. The record is from RNAcentral.